ACGCUCGACACCUACGGGAGGUAGCAGUGGGGAAUAUUGCACAAUGGGGGAAACCCUGAUGCAGCGACGCCGCGUGAGCGAAGAAGUAUUUCGGUAUGUAAAGCUCUAUCAGCAGGGAAGAAACUGACGGUACCUGACUAAGAAGCACCGGCUAAAUACGUGCCAGCAGCCGAGGUAAUCUGAGCGGGCUGGCAAGGC
RNAcentral lists this ribosomal RNA (198 nucleotides) under uncultured bacterium. RNAcentral's name for it is "partial 16S ribosomal RNA". It matches the Rfam family "Bacterial small subunit ribosomal RNA", at positions 328 to 539 of the family's 1533-position model. The record is from RNAcentral.